This 3252-nucleotide ribosomal RNA is filed under the name Triticum aestivum (bread wheat). RNAcentral's name for it is "partial small subunit ribosomal RNA". The record is from RNAcentral. Lineage: Eukaryota; Viridiplantae; Streptophyta; Magnoliopsida; Poales; Poaceae.
AUGGCUCGCGGCGAUCAUCAAAGUGAUGAUGACGAUUUCAUGGAUCCACCUCAACGUAACCGGGCAACUGGACGGAGAAAAGAGGGCGAUGAGAAGAAGAAACGUAUUCGCAACAGAGCCUCCCAGGAACGUCUGACCGUGCUGAUUGACAAAUUCAGUGACGAUCAAAAGGGAGCUGCUGCUGAGAUGGGUAUGCAGGUUCUGAUGGAUGUCCGGUGCACGAACCUUGUCAACCCGGUAUGCGACUGGCUUGGUGAGAUAUACGAUCCCGCCUCCAGGGAAUUCGUGAUCCCAGGACGGGGAAGACUCCCAUUGAACGAGGAAUCCGUGUUCUGCACUUUGGGUGUGCCUCGGGGACAUAUCAAAGUCCCGUAUGAGGUUAAUAAUGAGACUGAGGAAGAGCUGUUCGCCCGUUUGUUUCCUGGGUUGGAGGCAAUGUCGAACACGUCUGUACUGGCAGAUUCUCUGCAGGCCAUGAUGACGCACGGAGAAGUUUUCAAGAUGAAGCUGCUCAUGUAUCUCAUAUCAGCUAUUUUCGUGCCGACCACUUCUCUUCGCCCAAGCAACAAAUGUUUCCCCAUCCUGGCGAAUCUGAAAAACGUGAAGAAUAUGAACUGGUGUAAAUUCAUUGCCGACUUUCUCCACGAUGCUUUCAAAAACAAGAUGUACCAGAAGGGUUGUCGCCUGCAUUUAAUGCUUAUGUAUGUCGACUGUCUUGAUUUGUCCACCGUGGAUUUCACUGGGGUAGGAGGCCCGCCGCCUACGCACAAGUUUGCUAUUUCUGCGUGGACCAUCAGCGCUGUCAAGGCUGUGCUUGCUGCAGACAGGGCAACUGAUGGCACGUAUGGAAAACUACAGGUUAGUUUUUGUUUAUGUCUUUUUUUCACACGGCAUGCUUACAAAUUUGACACGACGCAACCGUCCGUGGUUUAUAAGGCAUGCUUACAUUUUCUUUUUUUGUUUUUCAUAGCUGAUGGCCAAGCAUGCUAUAGACUACAGCGUGUUUGGGGGCCUCAAAAAUUUGAAAAGUGGAUGGACGUGCACUCAGCUCCGUCUUGCCCUUCUGAGGCGAGGGCACCAGUUGAGCAUCUAAUUGGGCAGUUUGCUUCCGGAAUGACCGGAUUGCUCCGGAAGUUGGUCGAGGGGUGGACGUCCCUCAGUGCCUCCGACAGCGACGUGGUUGUGAGGCAGUUCACUUCAUUUGUUCCAGAACGUACACACCGGCCAACGGGCUGUCGUGGCCGAUACGACUACAACAGUUCCCAAGAGCCCGUCGACACACAAGAUGAUGUAGACGGAGACGCUGGCCUCAGCAAGGAUGACGACGACAUGGACAAUGUGCAUCAGGACACGGAUGACGAUGAACAAGCUGAAGUUCGCAGAGGCGGUAACAGGGGCAAGGAUGCAACAUAUGCCCCACCACCGGAGAAAGUGAAAGAACAGACUGCUGCGAGAGGCCAGGGGGUGUUGCCAUCAAGGAGGGGGAGGGCUCCAGAUGAUGUUGGGCAGGGUUCUCAUGGCAAGAAGUCCAAGACGGAUCCCGUAGCUGCCAGGAGGAGCAAGCCGACCGCUGGUGGACGAGCAGUUACGAAUAAACAGGCGCCAACGCCAACCCGUGCUUAUGCUCGCUUGAACAAAGGUGCCCCCAUUGCUGGUGACACCCCUUCCACCAGGUUGUCUCCUCGUACGACGACGACCAACACCGGGGAUCCUGUUGUGUUGCCAGACAUGAGGAAGCCAGUCAAGAAGGUUAAGAAGACUACUACGCGCGGGGCCAAGCAUAGGAUAAAUGAUCCGCUUGAACGACUACAUUCAAAGUUGUCAACUGGGGGCAACUCAAAUGUACAUGAGGCACCCGUCGACAAUACUACUGCUGCACCGAUGACGGCUUCCACCAACCCUGAUGCGAGUGGCCGAUCAUCUCCGCCGGCUGCGGAUGCCGAGGCUACAACAACAGGCAUCCGUACAUCGGGGAGUGAUGAGUCCAUAUCUGCCAGGACAGCUGAAAUAUUGCCAACUCUUCUGGCAAUGAAGGAAGCCACAGUGAGCCACACCACCCCAUCAGCAAGUGUUGAAGUGGACGCUCCCGAGACGAACAUAUGCAACGAGGAUUCGCUCUCUUCAGACACUGACUCCAAGGGCGUGCGUGAUGGCGCACCUGUGUCCACGACAGAAGCCGCUGAGGCGGCAGUUCAUAAGGAUAUGCCAUCUUCAGGAGAGAGUCAUGGCACAACAGCUCCAGCCCCUGUCGGUGCAGAUACUGCUAAGGUUACCGUGGCGCGUGCUGGUCUUCCACCUAGGCGUCGCAGCCCCCAUAAGCAACCAACAGUCGUACCCAAUGCACCGGUUGUACCUAGCAGCAGGAGAGACGAGUCUGGGUAUGUUCCUGCAUCCACACUGUUCCCGCCAACCGCCCAAAGCAAUGUGAUGGAGAACCCGCAAGACCGGAGCAAAACUGAGGCAGUUGUCAAGGCUGGCACGAGUGACGCAGGUGAACGGCCGGAGCAGACUGCGCCUUUACCCGCAGUGGAAAUCCCCAACAUAAAUCUGCGCACUUCCAGGCUGCCAGUCAAUGUUGGUGUCCCCUACAGCCCAAACAAGAAGAUUGCCAUGAAAGUUGCUGCUGAUACCGCUGACAAGACACCCCGCCCUGCAAACAAGCCCGAACAUUCCGGAGCGGCUGAUUCAGAUAUGUUUGUUGAUCUUUCACCAUUGGAUUCUGCCCCGCAAAUCGUUCGUGGUCCAGCCAGUAGGAAUGAGAGGCACCCAAUGGCAUUUACCCCACCGAGCUUCAGCAUUGGCGUAAGUCAAGACCAAGCGGUGGUGCAUGAUCCUAUGCCAGUUGCCUUUGCUUUUCCAGGAGGCACGGCGGCAAUGAUGGCGCAGCCAAUGGUCGAGGGCAGGAAGGCUGUCAAGUUCGCAGAGCCAAUUGUGCAAGCCACCCCUGAGGAAAUUUCACCAUCACUCGACGAAGCUUACCGCAAGAUUGAGGAGGCAGCAUUGCAGAGGAGGACAUCCCGAGGACAGGGGCAAUCAAGUUCCAACUUGACUGCGGAGAUGGCAACUGAGGAUACCAUCAGAAGCGCGACCCCUGGUUCUGUGAGACAGCAGAGGGUAGUUCACGCACCUCCCGCGGAAGACUACGAGCCCGAAUUCAGGGCCACUAAGGAACAGACCCAGCUGUACGACGUCAUCAAGCGGUUUGGAAAUGCAAGGGCCAGCAGCAAGCAUAUGAAGGAGUUGAAAGCAUGA